This 229-nucleotide ribosomal RNA is filed under the name uncultured bacterium. RNAcentral describes it as "partial 16S ribosomal RNA". It matches the Rfam family "Bacterial small subunit ribosomal RNA", at positions 568 to 796 of the family's 1533-position model. The record is from RNAcentral.
UACGUAGGCGGGAAAUUAAGUCAGUAGUGAAAUCCCACAGCUUAACUGUGGAACUGUUAUUGAUACUGGUUUUCUUGAAUAUAGUUGAGGUAGGCGGAAUGUGUAAUGUAGCGGUGAAAUGCUUAGAUAUUACACAGAACACCGAUUGCGAAGGCAGCUUACUAAGCUAUGAUUGACGCUGAGGAACGAAAGCGUGGGGAGCGAACAGGAUUAGAUACCCUGGUAGUCC